UGAUACAGUGUGAUUAUGGCAGAUCAAAAUGGCAGACAAUGCUCAAGGAAAUGCAGAAUGGUUCAUUGUUAGCUGAGGGGAAGGUGACAACGAGGCGCACAAACAGUAAAAUUAAUCAGGAGGACAGUGAAACUAGGUGGAACUGU
Molecule: long non-coding RNA, 146 nt
Organism: Amblyraja radiata (thorny skate)
Lineage: Eukaryota; Metazoa; Chordata; Chondrichthyes; Rajiformes; Rajidae
Exons: 3
Source: RefSeq, a predicted model, not a curated record